RNAcentral lists this ribosomal RNA (3022 nucleotides) under Providencia stuartii. RNAcentral describes it as "23S ribosomal RNA". It matches the Rfam family "Bacterial large subunit ribosomal RNA". The record is from RNAcentral. Lineage: Bacteria; Pseudomonadati; Pseudomonadota; Gammaproteobacteria; Enterobacterales; Morganellaceae.
GGUUAAGCGACUAAGCGUACACGGUGGAUGCCUAGGCAAUCAGAGGCGAUGAAGGACGUGCUAAUCUGCGAAAAGCGUCGGUAAGGUGAUAUGAACCGUUAUAACCGACGAUAUCCGAAUGGGGAAACCCAGUGCAAUUCGUUGCACUAUCGUUUGAUGAAUACAUAGUCAAACGAGGCGAACCGAGGGAACUGAAACAUCUCAGUACCUCGAGGAAAAGAAAUCAACCGAGAUUCCCCUAGUAGCGGCGAGCGAACGGGGAGCAGCCCAGAGUCUUAAUCAGCAUUAGCAUCAGGAGAACAGUCUGGAAAGGCUGGCAGUAAAGGGUGAUAGCCCCGUAUCCGAAGGUGUUAGUGUUGUGAACUCGACGAGUAGGGCGGGACACGUGUUAUCCUGUCUGAAUAUGGGGGGACCAUCCUCCAAGGCUAAAUACUCCUGAUUGACCGAUAGUGAACCAGUACCGUGAGGGAAAGGCGAAAAGAACCCCGGCGAGGGGAGUGAAAUAGAACCUGAAACCGUGUACGUACAAGCAGUGGGAGCACCCUUCGGGGUGUGACUGCGUACCUUUUGUAUAAUGGGUCAGCGACUUAUAUUCUGUAGCAAGGUUAACCGAAUAGGGGAGCCGUAGGGAAACCGAGUCUUAACUGGGCGAAUGAGUUGCAGGGUAUAGACCCGAAACCCGGUGAUCUAGCCAUGGGCAGGUUGAAGGUUGGGUAACACUAACUGGAGGACCGAACCGACUAAUGUUGAAAAAUUAGCGGAUGACUUGUGGCUGGGGGUGAAAGGCCAAUCAAACCGGGAGAUAGCUGGUUCUCCCCGAAAGCUAUUUAGGUAGCGCCUCGUGAACUCAUCUUCGGGGGUAGAGCACUGUUUCGACUAGGGGGUCAUCCCGACUUACCAACUCGAUGCAAACUACGAAUACCGAAGAAUGUUAUCACGGGAGACACACGGCGGGUGCUAACGUUCGUCGUGAAGAGGGAAACAACCCAGACCGCCAGCUAAGGUCCCAAAGUCAUAGUUAAGUGGGAAACGAAGUGGGAAGGCUCAGACAGCCAGGAUGUUGGCUUAGAAGCAGCCAUCAUUUAAAGAAAGCGUAAUAGCUCACUGGUCGAGUCGGCCUGCGCGGAAGAUGUAACGGGGCUAAACUAUGCACCGAAGCUGCGGCAGCGAACGUAUCACUUAAACUGAUUAAGUGAUGCACGAAAGUAUCAAAACGAUUGACGGAGCAAAGCGACGUCAAUGCGUCCAACAAAGUCGAGGCGGAACACGCACGACAAGUCAGUUUAAGGAUACGUUCGUUGGGUAGGGGAGCGUUCUGUAAGCCUGUGAAGGUGUACUGUGAGGUAUGCUGGAGGUAUCAGAAGUGCGAAUGCUGACAUAAGUAACGAUAAUGCGGGUGAAAAACCCGCACGCCGGAAGACCAAGGGUUCCUGUCCAACGUUAAUCGGGGCAGGGUGAGUCGACCCCUAAGGCGAGGCAGAAAUGCGUAGUCGAUGGGAAACGGGUUAAUAUUCCCGUACUGGUGAUAAUUGCGAUGGGGGGACGGAGAAGGUUAGGCUGGCCGGGCGACGGUUGUCCCGGUUUAAGGAUGUAGGCAGGUGAAUUAGGCAAAUCCGGUUCACUACAUGCUGAGGUCUGAUGACGAGCCACUACGGUGGUGAAGUAGCUCAUACCCCGCUUCCAGGAAAAGCCUCUAAGCUCUAGAUUAUCAUUAAUCGUACCCCAAACCGACACAGGUGGUCAGGUAGAGAAUACUCAGGCGCUUGAGAGAACUCGGGUGAAGGAACUAGGCAAAAUGGUGCCGUAACUUCGGGAGAAGGCACGCUGGCGCUAGGUGAAGUGGUUUACCCAUGGAGCUGAAGCCAGUCGCAGAUACCAGCUGGCUGCAACUGUUUAUUAAAAACACAGCACUGUGCAAACACGAAAGUGGACGUAUACGGUGUGACGCCUGCCCGGUGCUGGAAGGUUAAUUGAUGGGGUUAUCCGUAAGGAGAAGCUCUUGAUCGAAGCCCCAGUAAACGGCGGCCGUAACUAUAACGGUCCUAAGGUAGCGAAAUUCCUUGUCGGGUAAGUUCCGACCUGCACGAAUGGCGUAAUGAUGGCCAGGCUGUCUCCACCCGAGACUCAGUGAAAUUGAACUCGCUGUGAAGAUGCAGUGUACCCGCGGCAAGACGGAAAGACCCCGUGAACCUUUACUAUAGCUUGACACUGAACAUUGAGCCUUGAUGUGUAGGAUAGGUGGGAGGCUUUGAAGCGUGGACGCCAGUCUGCGUGGAGCCAACCUUGAAAUACCACCCUUUAAUGUUUGAUGUUCUAACGUUGCCCCGUAAUCCGGGGUGCGGACAGUGUCUGGUGGGUAGUUUGACUGGGGCGGUCUCCUCCCAAAGAGUAACGGAGGAGCACGAAGGUUGGCUAAGCAUGGUCGGACAUCAUGCGGUUAGUGCAAAGGCAUAAGCCAGCUUGACUGCGAGAGUGACGGCUCGAGCAGGUACGAAAGUAGGUCUUAGUGAUCCGGUGGUUCUGAAUGGAAGGGCCAUCGCUCAACGGAUAAAAGGUACUCCGGGGAUAACAGGCUGAUACCGCCCAAGAGUUCAUAUCGACGGCGGUGUUUGGCACCUCGAUGUCGGCUCAUCACAUCCUGGGGCUGAAGUAGGUCCCAAGGGUACGGCUGUUCGCCGUUUAAAGUGGUACGCGAGCUGGGUUUAGAACGUCGUGAGACAGUUCGGUCCCUAUCUGCCGUGGGCGUUGGAAGAUUGAAAGGGGCUGCUCCUAGUACGAGAGGACCGGAGUGGACGCACCACUGGUGUUCGGGUUGUCAUGCCAAUGGCAUUGCCCGGUAGCUAAGUGCGGAAAAGAUAACCGCUGAAAGCAUCUAAGCGGGAAACUUGCCUUGAGAUGAGUCUUCCCUGACCCUUUAAGGGUCCUAAAGGAACGUUUAAGACUAAGACGUUGAUAGGUUGGGUGUGUAAGCGUAGCGAUACGUUGAGCUAACCAAUACUAAUGAACCGUGAGGCUUAACCUG